This 403-nucleotide ribosomal RNA is filed under the name Antillotyphlops richardi (Richard's worm snake). RNAcentral's name for it is "partial 16S ribosomal RNA". It matches the Rfam family "Bacterial large subunit ribosomal RNA", at positions 1968 to 2594 of the family's 2925-position model. RNAcentral also lists the same sequence under 1 other name. Lineage: Eukaryota; Metazoa; Chordata; Lepidosauria; Squamata; Typhlopidae. The record is from RNAcentral.
UUUGUCCACUAAUUAUGGACCUGUAUGAAGGGCCACAUGAGAAUUUAACUGUCUCUUAUAACUAAUAUAUAAAACUGAUCUUUUAGUCCAAAAGCUAGAAUUACCAUAUAAGACGAGAAGACCCUGUGAAGCUUAAAAAAUCCCAUUAAACCAAUUAGCGGGUAUUUUUAGUUGGGGCAACUUUGGAAAACAACAUAACUUCCAAAUAAAAACAUAUAAUAAAGACCAACAAGUCAAUAAAGACCCAGUAUAACUGAUAAAUGAACCAAGUUACUCCAGGGAUAACAGCGCAAUCUUCUUCAAGAGCCCAUAUCAAAAAGAAGGUUUACGACCUCGAUGUUGGAUCAGGACACCCAAAUGGCGCAGCCGCUAUUAAAGGUUCGUUUGUUCAACGAUUAACAGU